Molecule: non-coding RNA, 93 nt
Filed under: Pseudomonas cichorii
Lineage: Bacteria; Pseudomonadati; Pseudomonadota; Gammaproteobacteria; Pseudomonadales; Pseudomonadaceae
Source: RNAcentral
GCUUAUGGCGGCUUUGCGUGGGGCACCUUCGGGUGCGCCGGUUUUUGGUGAUUUUUCCCCGGUCUGCUAACCCGCGACAAAGCCGCCACCCUC